CUGAAGCUGCUCAGAGCGGUUGAGAAUGUCGAGCAGAGAGAAGUAACAGGGUUAGUGGGUGUGUGAGGAGGAAUGGAGCCAACGGAAUGGGCAGGGAGGCUUCAUAAAGACACAGUGCAGGCCGCAGACCCCAAAUAACAAGCUACCGGUCUUGUGUUUACAGAAAACGAGCCGAAAAAGUCUGGAUUUCUCCCUUCGCCAGGACCGGAGUAACGGCCGCCAUCUUUAUAGGGGGCAAUGUGCAGCAGGGCGCAUGCGCGGUCAUCCUGGUCCAGAUCUUGCCCAAAAUCUUUAAUCUGUGUCCCGUAAUCAUUUUACAAUCGGUUAAUGGGAACAGCAUUUCAUUAACUAUCGUUAUCAUUAGGGACCAAGGGGGAAAUCUAUGGGUGGAGCCAGAGGACAUCGCUAGAGUGUUGAAUGAAUACUUCAAAUCCGUCUUCACCCAAGGGAAUGAGGAUGAAGCUGCAGGCUCCAGCAGGAGAGUUUAAAGUUGAACCUUGAAAUUGUUUCACAGAUACCAACAAAUAUUGCCAAUCCCCAGUUGCCUGUGGAGAAGAUGAUGUUUGACCUUCUUGAACCGCUGCAGUCCGUGUGGUGAAGGUGCUCCCACGAUGCUGUUAGUUUCACAGGGUAAUAGAAGGGGAGGAUUUGCUGUCGGGAAACUCAUACCAAGACCUGAGUGAGUCACUUGAUUCAUCAGGACCUGAAUAUUAUCGGCCUUUGAACAUGGAAGCAGAAAUCGCUGCUCACGCUGGGGAGAAACCGUGUAAGUGCAGGGACUGUGGGAAGGGAUUCAAUUACCCAUCUGACCUGGAAACUCAUCGACGCACUCACACUGGGGAGAAGCCAUUCACCUGCUCUGAGUGUGGGAAGGGAUUUACUCAGUCAUCCACU
Molecule: long non-coding RNA, 894 nt
Organism: Carcharodon carcharias (great white shark)
Lineage: Eukaryota; Metazoa; Chordata; Chondrichthyes; Lamniformes; Lamnidae
Exons: 5
Source: RefSeq, a predicted model, not a curated record